UCUGGCGUCUUUGGCGUCCGAGUUGUAAUUUGAAGAAGGUAUCUUUGGGGUUGGCUCUUGUCUAUGUUCCUUGGAAAAGGACGUCACAGAGGGUGAGAAUCCCGUGCGAUGAGAAGCCCGAUCCCGUGUAAAGUUCCUUCGAAGAGUCGAGUUGUUUGGGAAUGCAGCUCUAAGUGGGUGGUAAAUUCCAUCUAAAGCUAAAUAUUGGCGAGAGACCGAUAGCGAACAAGUACAGUGAUGGAAAGAUGAAAAGAACUUUGAAAAGAGAGUGAAAAAGUACGUGAAAUUGUUGAAAGGGAAGGGCUUGAGAUCAGACUUGGUAUUUUGCAUGUCUUUGCUUUCGGGCGGGGGCCUCUGCAGCUUACUGGGCCAGCAUCGGUUUGGGUGGUAGGACAAUUGCGGAGGAAUGUGGCACCGCUUCGGUGGUGUGUUAUAGCCUCUGUGGAUACUGCCUGCCUAGACCGAGGACUGCG
Molecule: ribosomal RNA, 473 nt
Filed under: Hemisphaericaspora lyxosophila
Lineage: Eukaryota; Fungi; Ascomycota; Pichiomycetes; Serinales; Debaryomycetaceae
Description: [Candida] lyxosophila partial large subunit ribosomal RNA
Rfam family: Eukaryotic large subunit ribosomal RNA
Source: RNAcentral